UGUGGCAUUGGAAUAAUUUUG
RNAcentral lists this non-coding RNA (21 nucleotides) under Caenorhabditis elegans. The record is from RNAcentral. Lineage: Eukaryota; Metazoa; Nematoda; Chromadorea; Rhabditida; Rhabditidae.